UCUCUUGUUUUUCCUUGUAGCCGAGCAACAAUAUAUAUAAAGGAGUAGAGCAACGACUAUGUCAUGUAACGUUCCAAUCCAAGCAAUGGCUAAUUCUUUUCAAAAGAAGAUAUACGUUAGCAAUAACAGCCUUAGAAGAUAUAUAAGGGAAUACUGCUAUGAAAGAGUCAUAUAAUAUCCAAAGACUAGUUGAAAGAGUCCAACUCACUAUUCGCAUGUAUCCUUAGAAAAAACAACUGUUGUUAGUAACUUUGAAUAAGAGUCUUUAAUUAUACCAAAUCCUAAAAACUCUCCAAGUAUACAUUACUUUGAAACACGUAACCAAAUAUAUAUAUAAG
Molecule: long non-coding RNA, 338 nt
Filed under: Panax ginseng (ginseng)
Lineage: Eukaryota; Viridiplantae; Streptophyta; Magnoliopsida; Apiales; Araliaceae
Description: long non-coding RNA (PGIN_LNC019252)
Source: RNAcentral